AAAAAAAAAAAAAAAAAAACAGUAAAGAAAUGUAACUUGACUUGUUAUGCACUUCAUAGCAUUUCACUCCUGCUCCAAGGAAAAAAGCCUUCAAAAUGGUCGAAAUAAUUUUAUAUUACUCUUCAAUUAUUGAUGAACUAAAAUAAAAUAGCUAAGGUGCAUUAAUUUUGUUUUUCCAAGUUAAAUUAACCGCAUAACAUUCUAAUCAAACAUGAGAGCACCGUUUCAAAGAAGAA
RNAcentral lists this unclassified non-coding RNA (236 nucleotides) under Hevea brasiliensis (rubber tree). Lineage: Eukaryota; Viridiplantae; Streptophyta; Magnoliopsida; Malpighiales; Euphorbiaceae. The record is from RNAcentral.